UUUAUCUUCUGUUUUCUUCUAAACUCUGUAGAGGACAGAUACAGUGGUACAUACCUAUAAUUCCAGCAACUCAGGAGGCUGAGGCAGGAGGAUCACAUGUUCAAGGACAGUCUGAGCAACUUAGUGAGACUCUGUCUCAAAAUAAAAAAUAUAAAAAGCUGGGCAUGUAUCUCAGUGAUAGAGGAUCCCUGGGUUCAAUCCCUGUACCACAAAAGUAAAUAAAUAAACAAAUAUAGUUUUAUUUUUUAUAUAUUGAUCCAUAUCCCAUUUUGUCUUAAAACUUUUGAAAGAAUUUUUAGACGAUGUUACUUGUUCAUUGAAACCAGCAUGACCAUUUAUUUACCUUUGGUCCUGUUAGAUGAGCUUAGCCCUUAGUUCUAUCAGAUGAUUCAUGCUCUUAAUCAAUCAACAGUAUUGAUGACAUGGCAUUUCACAUUCAUUACUGCCUCUGAGCAGUUGAGAACCACCCUGGUUGGAUACCCUGUGUUCCCAGCUCAUGUUCCUAAUCUCACUGUCUUUAGUUAUUUCCAUGGAUCUGCAGUUAUUUUCUUUAAAAAAAAAGCACUCAAUUUUUAAAAUAUUUUUUAAUUGUAGAUGGACACAAGACCUUUAUGUCAUUUACUUAUAUGUGGUGCUGAGGAUCGAACCCAGUGCCUCACACAUGCCAGGCAAGUGCUCCAUCACUGAGCCCGAACCUCAGCCCUACAGUAAUUUUCAUUAGCAGAAUGUAAUCAAGGCGUUUAGAGUCUAAAAGGGUGGGGGGAUAACUGUCUUAUAUCUUUUCUCAGUAAAAUUCCAUUUUUUUUCCUUUUUGACAUGUGUAUAUAUAUUAAAUAUAUAUACACAUAUAUUUAAUCUGAACAAAAUGAAGAACAAAAAUGGAAGCAUUUUUUUGCAUAAUUUAAAUUUACAAAGUUCUCCAGUCCUCUACAUCUUGACCUUACAGAUGUCAGAGUUUUACUUAGAGCUAAGAAGAGCUUCGAGGUCACUCUUUAGUCCACUUUAUCAAGUCCACAGAUAUUUUUCCUGAGCACCACCUGUGAGCCAGGGACUUUGGACAGUCCCUAUGAGAAAAUCAACUUCCGGGCACGUGAAGGUAGCUGUCAGUAACCCGUGGCUUAUCCAGGCGCCUGCGGUUGCAGUCCUCAGAGUUCUGUCCUCCCCACCUCCUCAGAGUUCUGUCCUCCCCACCUGCCUCCACAUGCUUGCCAGGUCACUGCUCUCUUCCCUGCCUGCCCCUGCAGCAGUCCCUGCCCCAUGGGAAUGACAGGGCACACAUGGUUCCCAGGAGGAGACUUAGCUCAGGGAAGUGACAUGUGGGAGGGAAAUGUGCUGGAAGUGAGUUUAUA
RNAcentral lists this long non-coding RNA (1349 nucleotides) under Marmota monax (woodchuck). The record is from RNAcentral. Lineage: Eukaryota; Metazoa; Chordata; Mammalia; Rodentia; Sciuridae.